UACGGAGGGUGCGAGCGUUGUCCGGAAUCACUGGGCGUAAAGGGCGCGUAGGCGGCUCGUGAAGUCAGUGGUGAAAGCCCAGGCUCAACUCUGGGUCGGCCACUGAUACUCGCGAGCUCGAGUUUGGUAGAGGCAGAUGGAAUUCCGGGUGUAGCGGUGGAAUGCGUAGAGAUCCGGAAGAACACCGGUGGCGAAGGCGGUCUGACUGGGCCA
Molecule: ribosomal RNA, 213 nt
Filed under: uncultured bacterium
Lineage: Bacteria
Description: partial 16S ribosomal RNA
Rfam family: Bacterial small subunit ribosomal RNA
Source: RNAcentral